GGCAGCAGUGGGGAAUAUUGGACAAUGGGCGAAAGCCUGAUCCAGCCAUGCCGCGUGUGUGAAGAAGGUCUUCGGAUUGUAAAGCACUUUAAGUUGGGAGGAAGGGUUGUAGAUUAAUACUCUGCAAUUUUGACGUUACCGACAGAAUAAGCACCGGCUAACUUCGUGCCAGCAGCCGCG
RNAcentral lists this ribosomal RNA (180 nucleotides) under BTEX-degrading bacterium enrichment culture. RNAcentral's name for it is "partial 16S ribosomal RNA". It matches the Rfam family "Bacterial small subunit ribosomal RNA", at positions 347 to 519 of the family's 1533-position model. The record is from RNAcentral.